This 496-nucleotide ribosomal RNA is filed under the name uncultured bacterium. RNAcentral's name for it is "partial 16S ribosomal RNA". It matches the Rfam family "Bacterial small subunit ribosomal RNA", at positions 29 to 507 of the family's 1533-position model. The record is from RNAcentral.
AUGAACGCUGGCGGCGUGCCUAAUACAUGCAAGUCGAGCGAACGGACGAGAAGCUUGCUUCUCUGAUGUUAGCGGCGGACGGGUGAGUAACACGUGGAUAACCUACCUAUAAGGCUGGGAUAACUUCGGGAAACCGUAGCUAAUACCGGAUAAUAUUUUGAACCGCAUGGUUCAAAAGUGAAAGACGGUCUUGCUGUCACUUAUAGAUGGAUCCGCGCUGCAUUAGCUAGUUGGUAAGGUAACGGCUUACCAAGGCAACGAUGCAUAGCCGACCUGAGAGGGUGAUCAGCCACACUGGAACUGAGACACGGUCCAGACUCCUACGGGAGGCAGCAGUAGGGAAUCUUCCGCAAUGGGCGAAAGCCUGACGGAGCAACGCCGCGUGAGUGAUGAAGGUCUUCGGAUCGUAAAACUCUGUUAUUAGGGAAGAACAUAUGUGUAAGUAACUGUGCACAUCUUGACGGUACCUAAUCAGAAAGCCACGGCUAACUACGUG